GACGAACGCUGGCGGCGUGCUUAACACAUGCAAGUCGAACGAAGUGGCGAACGGGUGAGUCACGCGUAAUCAACCUGCCCUUCAGAGGGGGACAACAGUUGGAAACGACUGCUAAUACCUCAUACUGUCGGAGGGGAUUGCGGCUGAUGAGCUAGGUGGAGGGGUAACGGCCCACCACGGCGAUGAUCAGGAGCCGGACUGAGGGGAUGACCGGGCACACUGGGACGUGGACACGGCCCAGACUCCUACGGGAGGCAGAAGUGGGGAAGAGUACGAAAUGGACGAAAGUCUGACGGAGCAACGCCGCGGUAGUGAUGACGGCCUUCGGUUUGUACAGCUUUGUUAAUCGGGACGCGGUACCGGAAGAGAAAGCCACGGCUAACUACGUGCCAGCAGCCGCGGUAAUUG
This 408-nucleotide ribosomal RNA is filed under the name uncultured bacterium. RNAcentral describes it as "partial 16S ribosomal RNA". It matches the Rfam family "Bacterial small subunit ribosomal RNA", at positions 28 to 527 of the family's 1533-position model. The record is from RNAcentral.